GACGAACGCUGGCGGCGUGCUUAACACAUGCAAGUCGAGGGCAUGCCGCAAGGCAUGACCGGCGAACGGGUGCGUAACACGUGAGCGACCUUCCGUCUUCUGGGGGAUAGCCGGCCCAACGGCCGGGUAAUACCGCAUACGCUGUGUGGGGGGCAUCCCUUGCGCAGGAAACUUCCGGGGGAGGACGAGGGGCUCGCGGCCUAUCAGCUAGGUUGGGGGG
Molecule: ribosomal RNA, 220 nt
Filed under: uncultured bacterium
Lineage: Bacteria
Description: partial 16S ribosomal RNA
Rfam family: Bacterial small subunit ribosomal RNA
Source: RNAcentral